GGCUACAUGAUCAAAUGGUUAAGAUGCAACUCCUUCACAGUUGAAAUAUCGGUUCAAUUCCGAUUGUAGUCA
RNAcentral lists this transfer RNA (72 nucleotides) under Dissophora ornata. RNAcentral describes it as "tRNA-Glu". It matches the Rfam family "tRNA". Rfam says of the family: Transfer RNA (tRNA) molecules are approximately 80 nucleotides in length. Their secondary structure includes four short double-helical elements and three loops (D, anti-codon, and T loops). Further hydrogen bonds mediate the characteristic L-shaped molecular structure. tRNAs have two regions of fundamental functional importance: the anti-codon, which is responsible for specific mRNA codon recognition, and the 3' end, to which the tRNAs corresponding amino acid is attached (by aminoacyl-tRNA synthetases). tRNAs cope with the degeneracy of the genetic code in two manners: having more than one tRNA (with a specific anti-codon) for a particular amino acid; and 'wobble' base-pairing, i.e. permitting non-standard base-pairing at the 3rd anti-codon position. The record is from RNAcentral. Lineage: Eukaryota; Fungi; Mortierellomycota; Mortierellomycetes; Mortierellales; Mortierellaceae. RNAcentral also lists the same sequence under 2 other names.